RNAcentral lists this ribosomal RNA (340 nucleotides) under Nematoda environmental sample. RNAcentral's name for it is "SSU rRNA". It matches the Rfam family "Eukaryotic small subunit ribosomal RNA", at positions 1300 to 1665 of the family's 1831-position model. The record is from RNAcentral. Lineage: Eukaryota; Metazoa; Nematoda.
GGUGGAGCGAUCUGUCUGGUUUAUUCCGAUAACGAAUGAGACUCUGGCCAACUAACUAGUGACAGAAUUAUUGCUGUUCUGGUUACUUCUUAGAGGGACAAGUGGUGUUCAGCCACACGAAAUUGAGCAAUAACAGGUCUGUGAUGCCCUUAGAUGUCCGGGUUGCAUGCAUGCUACACUGGAGGAAACAGCAUGCAAAACCAUUGCCAAGAGGCAUUGGUAAACCCUAGAAAAUCUUCCGUGAUCGGGAUCGGGAAUUGCAAUUAUUUCCCUUGAACGACUAAUUCCCAGUAAAUGUGGGUCAUUCAGCUCGCGCUGAAUACGUCCCUGCCCUUUGUAC